AUUGAACGCUGGCGGCAGGCCUAACACAUGCAAGUCGAACGGUAACAGGAAACAGCUUGCUGUUUCGCUGACGAGUGGCGGACGGGUGAGUAAUGUCUGGGAAACUGCCUGAUGGAGGGGGAUAACUACUGGAAACGGUAGCUAAUACCGCAUAACGUCGCAAGACCAAAGAGGGGGACCCUCGGGCCUCUUGCCAUCGGAUGUGCCCAGAUGGGAUUAGCUUGUUGGUGGGGUAACGGCUCACCAAGGCGACGAUCCCUAGCUGGUCUGAGAGGAUGACCAGCCACACUGGAACUGAGACACGGUCCAGACUCCUACGGGAGGCAGCAGUGGGGAAUAUUGCACAAUGGGCGCAAGCCUGAUGCAGCCAUGCCGCGUGUAUGAAGAAGGCCUUCGGGUUGUAAAGUACUUUCAGCGGGGAGGAAGGGAGUAAAGUUAAUACCUUUGCUCAUUGACGUUACCCACAGAAGAAGCACCGGCUAACUCCGUG
RNAcentral lists this ribosomal RNA (490 nucleotides) under uncultured bacterium. RNAcentral describes it as "partial 16S ribosomal RNA". It matches the Rfam family "Bacterial small subunit ribosomal RNA", at positions 30 to 507 of the family's 1533-position model. The record is from RNAcentral.